AGAGUUUGAUUAUGGCUCAGAUUGAACGCUGGCGGCAGGCCUAACACAUGCAAGUCGAGCGGUAGCACAGGAGAGCUUGCUCUCCGGGUGACGAGCGGCGGACGGGUGAGUAAUGUCUGGGAAACUGCCUGAUGGAGGGGGAUAACUACUGGAAACGGUAGCUAAUACCGCAUAAUGUCGCAAGACCAAAGAGGGGGACCUUCGGGCCUCUUGCCAUCAGAUGUGCCCAGAUGGGAUUAGCUAGUAGGUGGGGUAACGGCUCACCUAGGCGACGAUCCCUAGCUGGUCUGAGAGGAUGACCAGCCACACUGGAACUGAGACACGGUCCAGACUCCUACGGGAGGCAGCAGUGGGGAAUAUUGCACAAUGGGCGCAAGCCUGAUGCAGCCAUGCCGCGUGUAUGAAGAAGGCCUUCGGGUUGUAAAGUACUUUCAGCGAGGAGGAAGGUGUUGAGGUUAAUAACCUCAGCAAUUGACGUUACUCGCAGAAGAAGCACCGGCUAACUCCGUGCCAGCCGCCGCGGUAA
This 526-nucleotide ribosomal RNA is filed under the name uncultured Enterobacter sp. Its description in RNAcentral is "bacterial SSU rRNA". It matches the Rfam family "Bacterial small subunit ribosomal RNA", at positions 8 to 523 of the family's 1533-position model. The record is from RNAcentral. Lineage: Bacteria; Pseudomonadati; Pseudomonadota; Gammaproteobacteria; Enterobacterales; Enterobacteriaceae.